Molecule: transfer RNA, 72 nt
Filed under: Candidatus Bathyarchaeota archaeon
Lineage: Archaea; Thermoproteati; Candidatus Bathyarchaeota
Description: tRNA-Val
Rfam family: tRNA
About the family: Transfer RNA (tRNA) molecules are approximately 80 nucleotides in length. Their secondary structure includes four short double-helical elements and three loops (D, anti-codon, and T loops). Further hydrogen bonds mediate the characteristic L-shaped molecular structure. tRNAs have two regions of fundamental functional importance: the anti-codon, which is responsible for specific mRNA codon recognition, and the 3' end, to which the tRNAs corresponding amino acid is attached (by aminoacyl-tRNA synthetases). tRNAs cope with the degeneracy of the genetic code in two manners: having more than one tRNA (with a specific anti-codon) for a particular amino acid; and 'wobble' base-pairing, i.e. permitting non-standard base-pairing at the 3rd anti-codon position.
Source: RNAcentral
GGACCAGUGGUCUAAUGGCAUGACGCCGCCCUCACGCGGCGGUGGUUCCAGGUUCGAGUCCUGGCUGGUCCA